UACGUAGGGGGCAAGCGUUGUCCGGAUUUAUUGGGCGUAAAGAGCGUGUAGGCGGCCAGAUAGGUCCGUUGUGAAAACUGGAGGCUUAACCUCCAGCUGUCGAUGGAAACCAUCUGGCUAGAGUCCGGAAGAGGAGAGUGGAAUUCCUGGUGUAGCGGUGAAAUGCGCAGAUAUCAGGAAGAACACCAGCGGCGAAGGCGGCGCUCUGGGCCGGUACUGACACUGAGGAGCGAAAGCGUGGGUAGCAAACAGG
This 253-nucleotide ribosomal RNA is filed under the name uncultured bacterium. RNAcentral describes it as "partial 16S ribosomal RNA". It matches the Rfam family "Bacterial small subunit ribosomal RNA", at positions 524 to 776 of the family's 1533-position model. The record is from RNAcentral.